Molecule: ribosomal RNA, 120 nt
Filed under: Streptomyces boncukensis
Lineage: Bacteria; Bacillati; Actinomycetota; Actinomycetes; Kitasatosporales; Streptomycetaceae
Description: partial 16S ribosomal RNA
Rfam family: Bacterial small subunit ribosomal RNA
Source: RNAcentral
CAUUCACGGAGAGUUUGAUCCUGGCUCAGGACGAACGCUGGCGGCGUGCUUAACACAUGCAAGUCGAACGAUGAAGCCGCUUCGGUGGUGGAUUAGUGGCGAACGGGUGAGUAACACGUG